Long non-coding RNA from Apis mellifera (honey bee), 2423 nucleotides. RefSeq lists it as uncharacterized. Lineage: Eukaryota; Metazoa; Arthropoda; Insecta; Hymenoptera; Apidae. The record is from RefSeq and is a predicted model, not a curated record. The transcript is spliced from 4 exons.
GUAGCCAUGUUCAAGUCGUUCGCUAGGAAACGUAAUUUUUCUCGUGACGAGCAGUGAGACGGGACGGAAGACGGGAUAAUUAUUGGAUAUUUGACGCCGAGCAUUGGAAUAUUUACGGGAAAAGCAGUUAAGAGAUAAAUAAUCGCAUAAAGGGAGACUCGGCUGGUUACACGAUCAAAGGGGAGUCAGACUCCUGUGGAGCAGCAAAGGAGGAUACGCGAAAUUAACAUAAAUGAUUACGGAAGAUGCUCCCAGAGUUACGCGAGUGAAGUUUGCAUGCGAGCCAGUCGUAAUCGCUUUUGAAAUUGUGGAUGUGAUCUGGAAUUAAUUCUUGGAGGAAGCGUGUGUCGAGGAGAGGAUACUCCGGACCAAUUACCAACACUUCAAAGAGCAUUUUGCCAUCCCGGUAAUCUUCCAGCGCAGGAAAUCUCGAGGAGGAGGAGGAGGAAACGAUGUUGCAUUUCUUGUUUCUUCUCACUUCGCUUCUUCUUUUAUUCCUGGAUCGAAAUGGGUUCUCAAUCGGUGUUAAAGUAAUCGUUUGAGAACCACUUCUUCUACUCCUAGCGAAAUGUCUUUUAAAAACUUGUAGAAAUAUUAAUUAUCCCUUAUUAUACAAAAUUACAUUGCAAUUAAUUAUCCUUAUAACUCCAAUCUGUUUUAAUCAUUACAUCGACCACGCUUGUUCAUCACGCUUGGAAAUCGAUGAAAACGGAAUUUUCCCUCCGAUCUUGAAUAAAAUAUGGAGAGGAGAGAAGGGAUAAAAGGGAAAAAUCAACUUCGAGAAAGAAAUUAAUUAACCAUAAACCGUGGCUCCGAGUCGAGUAUGCAAAUCACGAGGCGAGGCACGUCAUAUAACAACGUAUUAUAUCAACCGAUACGUCGAAUACAUAUUGCUGAAUAUUGUGACAUAAUUUUUACCACCGAAUAUUAACAUUCCUCCGAUAAGACGAGAUGAUGGAGGCAAAACGCACGGAGGCGGAAGCCUCGAUCAAAUACGAAAACGAAUAAAUUCUAAUCUCUGGCGAGAUCUUAUUAGCGGGUACCGUUGCCAAGGAAAUCGGUAGAAAAUGCGCGACCGGGCUUAAGGUCGUUUACACCGAGAGUCAAAGGAGGGAAGAUAGUUGAAAGACGCUUAAAAGCUCGAUCGAAAUUAUUUCAUAUUCAAUUCUUUUCUAAUUCUUCUUCUACGAGAAAAAAUUGAGAUUUCGAGAUUGGAAGGAAAAUCGAGGAGAGGAAGAUUAUUUAAAAAUGAAAGUUGAAAGACGCUUAAAAGCUCGAUCGAAUUUAUUUCAUAUUCAAUCUUUCUAAUUCUUCUUCUACGAGUCGAGAGAAAAAGAAGAGGAACAGUCGAGAUUUCGAGAUUUCGAGGGAAAAUCGAAGACGCUUAAAAGCUCGAUCGAAAUUACUUCAUAUACAAUCUUUCUAAUUCUUUUUCUACGAGUCGAGAGAAAAAGAAGAGGAACAGUCGAGAUUUCGAGGGAGAAUCGAGGAGAGAGAGGUUAUUUAAAAAUGAAAGUUGAAAGACGUUUAAAAGCUCGAUCGAAUUUAUUUCAUAUUCAAUCUUUCUAAUUCUUCUUCUACGAGUCGAGAGAAAAAGAAGAGGAAGUCGAGAUUUCGAGAUUUCGAGGGAAAAUCGAAGACGCUUAAAAGCUCGAUCGAAAUUACUUCAUAUCCAAUCUUUCUAAUUCUUCUUCUACGAGAAAAAGAAGAGGAACAGUCGAGAUUUCGAGAUUUCGAGAGGGAAAAUCGAGGAGAGAGAGGUUAUUUAAAAAUGAAAGUUGAAAGACGCUUAAAAGCUCGAUCGAAUUUAUUUCAUAUUCAAUCUUUCUAAUUCUUCUUCUACGAGAAAAAGAAGAGAUUUCGAGAUUGGAGGAUUGGAAAAUCGAGGAGAGAGAGGUUAUUUAAAAACGUGAAAAAGGUAGCGGUUCGAAAGAAGGAGUUGGAAACCGCAAGGGCGUGCGACCUCGCCGCCAAAUUAUUCAGAUCGUCGACGCGAUUACGAAACAAUCGACCGCCGACUCUCUUUCCGUGCGAAACUUGUCGAUUUCUUUUAUAACUUUCUUUCUGAAAGGGGAAAAGGAGUAAAUUCGAAAUGGAUAAAUGGUAAAUAAAUGGUAGAAAUAUUGCCUGACCCUCUCCUUCUAUAUAUGUUAAAUUCGAUUGCAGGGUAAUUUUUGGAUAGUUGGAUGGUUGGGAGUUGUUUGAGAAGGGGAGGGGAAGCGUGAGAGGCGGAGGAGGAGAGGUUGCAGGAUGGGGAACAAUGGAAGGGGAGAAGGUUCUCAUAGCUCAGGUGCCACGGUCAGAGCAAUUAGCAUUCUAAUAUACAUCUUGAACUUCAUUAGCUGCGCGUUCCUUCCAACUUUUUACCAUCUUCUUAAGAAUCUUCUCGCGAAUCUUCUCUUUUUUCCAUCGAGUUUGAUCAA